RNAcentral lists this transfer RNA (68 nucleotides) under Marmota monax (woodchuck). RNAcentral's name for it is "tRNA.Ala". The stretch from base 3 to 63 matches the Rfam family "tRNA", at positions 6 to 65 of the family's 71-position model. Rfam says of the family: Transfer RNA (tRNA) molecules are approximately 80 nucleotides in length. Their secondary structure includes four short double-helical elements and three loops (D, anti-codon, and T loops). The record is from RNAcentral. Lineage: Eukaryota; Metazoa; Chordata; Mammalia; Rodentia; Sciuridae.
GUUGUAGCUCAGCGGUAGAGUGCUCGCCUAGCACGUGUGAGGACCUGGGUUUGAUCCUCAGCACCACA